AUGAAAACAGAGGAUACGAAACUAUGAGGUAAAUGCUACAAUGCACCUUCUGAUGAAAGAAAAUACAAACAAAAUGCGAAAUUGUAAGAAUCAUUACUCCAUUGAUAUACUAUAGAUAUUCUUAUAUGAUGUCCAAUUAGCGCUUUGAGUACACACCCGGGCUAACAAAAAACAAGAAUAAUUGUUAGUCCUCUAGCAUCUUCAACAAUAUAGAUAGAUAGGCAAUUAGAGAAAAGUCUGAGAUCGGCGAAAUAUAACGAUUGACAUAAUGCGGGUAAUGGUAAAAUACGAAUAAAGAUGCUGUCAACUAAUAGGUAACCGUCCUAAUUUGUUUUUGCUGUUUUAAUUCACUUUAAAGGCAAAUGCAGUUACAUAUAAUAUUGAAAUCACGAACAAACUAUCGUGUACAUUUAUAGAAAGCACGACUUCUUUAAUAAAAAAUAGAUUUAACACAAAAUGUUUUAAAAAGAAUGAAAUUAAUUUGAACAGCGGUAUACUAUUGUUGCCUUCCAUUAAACAAAAUAAAACGAUUUUUCAAAAAUAUAAAUGUGUGGUCUGCAUACACAAACACUUGUUGAAAAGUGAUCGGCAUGCAACUUUUAGUUCAAUAUCAAAUUGGAACAUAGUAAGAGAUAGAAGGGAAAGUUGUAACAUAGUAAAGUAUGAAAAUCCGUAAGCACAUUCUUACUGAUCGUGUAGGGAUUGUUUUUAAGAUCUAGUUGUGUAAGUCAGAAUCUGUGAAUGUAUAUGAUGUCCUGCAAAAAUCGCGAUCCGAUGGAGACCUUUGAAAUUUGAAUGAUAAACCAGAUCAAGUACACUCCUACAAAACGAUGACCAAUAUAAAGAAUGUACUCUCCCGCAGAAGAAUUUCAAAUAUUUUGUUGAGAUGGAAUAUGAAAGGAUUCCCAGCAAGAAUUGAAAUGAAAGACAUUUGGAUGUAAAUUGUUUAGAGGUAAAUAUCAGUAAAAUAUUAUAUACCAAAAUGGAGUUAUUUUUUUCAGAAAAAAAUAAAAUCACACAAAUACUGAAUUCCAAGGAAAAUUCAAAACGAAAAGUCUCUAAUCAAAUGUCAAAAUCAAAAGCUCUAACAAAUCAAACGAAUGGACAACAACUGUCAUAUUCCUGACUUAGUAAAUGCAUUUCUUAUGUAGAACAUGGCGAUUAAAACAUGGUUUUCAUAGCUAGCUAAGCCUCUCCCUUGUACGAAAGUUUAAAUUUCUAUCAUAUUGAAAAUGAUGUGUGAACAAAAUAAACAGACAUAAUAGGUAAAAAUAUGAAAAUAGAGGUACAGCAGUCGACGUUAAAAAAAAUAGUAGAACGUUAGUUUCAAUACAAGCUGCGUCAAGGAAUAAAAUAAUGACUUGUAUAAGAUUGAAGGCAGAAACAAUCAUUUCCUCCGUUUCAUGGACUGAAAAGUAAAAAAUUGCCAUUGACGCACAUUUUAACUUUCGAAACAAAUAAUGUGAAGUUUUGUAAAUCAAUCGCUACGUUACCAUGGUGGGUAAGGUUGUCCUGCGAGAGAACGUUAUGUGCUGGUGAUUCCGUCCUAACUGGUUGGUUUGUUUACAUUGUAUCAGAACAGCAAUCAAACAACCGUUCUGUUGCUUAUUUUUCUCUAAUACAUCCUAAUAAUCAUGCAAGGAAUAUUACAAUAAUUUUGUAUUGCAAAAGUCGUGCGAAUUAGCCAAACAAAAUUAUCCUGAGGAAGUGCUGGUGAUUAGGUAAAAUGAUCUUGGUUCUGUGCCUUUAUAUUUCAGUUUAAAGUGGCAAAUAGUUAAGAUCAUUGAUGCAGAAAGUUUGUGUAAUUGAUAGAAAACAUAUUUAGCAUAUUAUAUUUGAUUGAUAUUUCAUAUGAGCAAUGGUGGGUCUAUUUUGAUUUAAUUUGAUUUUUGAGAGGGGUGCAAGAUCUUUUUUGUUGAGGUGUUUUAGGCAUGGAAAGGAAAAGAAUGAAGACUAGAUGAUAACAAAGAUAACACACACAAACAUUUUUUUUUCUAAUUUAUGCAUUUUAAAGAUCCAAAAGUAAACGGUCUGUUGUCAAGGAUUUUUUUUAUAAAGAAUUAAGGGAAAGUAAGUGAACGAUGUGUCGUACUUUUCUUUUUUCAAGCCAUUAUUCAUGAAUAAAAAUAAAAUGUGCCUAUUUUUGUAUGAAAAUAAGUGAAAAAAGAGUAAACGUAAAAACCAAACCAGUAAGAAAUACUCUCAUAGUUAAAUAUUUGUAAAUUUAGCUUUUAAUUUGUGUGUUUAAAACAAGCCUUCUAUGUGCAAUGUAACAAAGGUAUUUCAUUCACCCAUUUAUUUCAUUUGUUUAUAAUGUGAAUUCUAAGUAUCAUUAUACUAACAUGUAGCCUUAAUAUAUAUUUUAAAAAUCGAAUCUAAAGCCAGAUAUAUCAAAGAUUAUUGUUUUGUUAUUUUAUAUGUCUUCAGGACAACACAAUCUACUUAUACACGCCUUGAACGUAAAAUGUGUAUUCCACUGUCUCCUUAUGAUAUUAAGAUAAUUGCCCAUUUUCAGCCCCCACAAAACAAAUGUCAUUUCAAAUAAAUACUAUGCAAAGAUCUAGAAAUCGACAAAUAAUAAUGUCAUUAAAAUAGAAUACUCUCUUGUAUUCGAAGAUUUUGCAAAUUUGUUUUGUCUAAACAAAUUAACUCACAGCAUGAAUAUUUUCAUAUUGCUAUAACGUUACGCGCGAUGUUAGUACAUGUAAGCGUACACAAGCGGAAUAUUUCGUAACGUUCAAACCAAAACUUCGACUGAAACGUUAUUUUUUUAAGCAUGUGCGACAUUCGUGUAAGACUCCGCAAAAUCGACGGUGCUUUUUAAUUACUUAUUGAAAAUUGAUGUAUUUUAGAUUUUUGAAAAAUUAAGAAAAAUAACAUUUUAAAAAAUCAUAAAAUUCUACCAUUAUAAGAGCACUGAUAAGCAAACAAUUGACGUAUAUUUGAGUUAAAUUCAUUUUUACGUCAAAAAAUGGCGGUGCGAGAACCUUGUAAGCCUUUGAAAAAUUGCUCAUAAAUAGUUUAUCAGGAUAUUUGUAUUUAAAUUUAUAAAAUUAAGCAAAUUAACAUUGACUGACAAAGUGGACUGCAAGGGGGUAUUUUUGUUUUAUUUUUUCGGUUCUACAUUUUCUAUAAAUGGACACUUUUGUGUUACGCUUACGUAUACUGAAACAGUUUAGAGGGUAAUAUCUUACAGUGUUUGCCUAUGAUCCCACUAGAAACAACAUCAUUAGAUCUCAACUGUUUCCUUCCAUUUUUUAUGCGAGAAAACGUCAAUAAUCAUAAUUUUCGUCUUUGUUUAAUGAUCACCAGCGCCAGUCAGGACCAAAUCACCUGCACAAAACAUUUUCUCGCAGGACAAUCUCAACCGCCAGGAAUACAGGGAUACAUGUAUUUAGUGAAAUGAAUACAUAAUGACAAACACUUUUCAUAAAACAAGCCAGAUUUAACACAUUUGUGUGUAGGAUUUUUGACCUAUGGAUAAUACUUUUCAUUUAUCACAUAAUUAUAAACCUUUGACUCUACCAAAUGAUCAAAUGACCAAAUAUUCUUAUUUUCUAUUGAAUAACACACAUGUACUUAAAAUUGGGGAAGAGAUAUACUAUUUAAUCCUGAAUCUGAGUUUUAUAUAUAUAAAAGUUGUAUUACCAAACAAAAUAGAAAAAAACUAUUUAUUCAUAGGUAUUGUUGAAAAGAAAUCUGCUUUUACGCGAUGAAAAUGUUAUGAAAUUAAAAAAAAUAAAAGGCAAUCAUCUUUUCACAAAGUUGAUACAAUAUAUUAAUUACAAAGACUUGUAUUUUCAUACACCGUAAAACUCAUGUGUGUAUUGAUUAUGUCUUUCGUACACAACCAGUGUUGAUCGCACACUUCCCAAAUCCUUGCCCAUCUCCGACUGACUUGUAGGCGCGCUGCUUCCAUAACACAUAACUCGACCUUUGCAUUUGCAUCUCGCAAAGCCAACCAAUGGAUUGCUGAGAAAGUAAUUUGAUUAACAAAGAACGAUCAAUUUAAAAUUUUAUUCUUUGAGCCAAGUUUAAAUUGAUCAUUUGUCUGAUUAUGUUUUAAAACUUGACACGAAAUAAUUCCAGACCUCAAGUUCUCUGUCUAUUUUAGUUACCUGAUGUUAGAAACUAAGAAACUGAUCAACCAAAUCAUCGAUACUACUUUCAGAAACAGAUCAGUGCUGUCUGUUUGUCAUCUGAAAAUUCAGAUUCUUUUCCUGCUGCCGAGAAACUAGCAUUUCGGUUGGGAUUGGAGAAGUAGCUAGGCCAACUUUUGAUAGCAAUUAAAUAUUACUUAUUAGGGUAAACAACUGAUUCAGAGUGAUAAAGCGAUUUUUCACAAAUUCAAUUCCAGUUGCCCAUUUUGAAGUUUCGUUGUCUCUCAUCCAACUCAGCCCUUUGUACAAAGUUUAAAAUGCAUUUUAUUUUAGAUAAGCUUUAUUUAAAAAAAAACUUUAAAGGACUACUUUGUCGUAUAAAAUGUCGUAUUUGUGACAAUUGGCAAAUUGUUUAUUUGAUUUGGAUAUUCUUUAAAUGAUAUGCUUGUCAAUAAAAAGCAGUGGACACCAUGAGUUUUUUUAGAGGUAACCAUUUAGAUUAUAAUUUUUUAUUGAAGUUUUAUAAGAAAGAGUGUUAAAUUUGCAAUAAUUAGUACAUUAUAUACUCUAAUGAUGAAACUAAAAAUUUUGCAAAAAGAGGAUUGAUAUAAAAGAUAAUUGCUGAACUAGGAAGUUAGACAUUUUUUUAUUUUGUCUAAUAUGCAAUUUUCACUAUAGAAAUGAGCAGCAAUAACAGGCCAAACAAAAUUGUCAACAAUUAAUGCAAACCCAGAUCAUCAAACUCAAACGUGUCCGACGGAUUUAAGCAAGAAGGUGUCCAUUCUUCGCAAGGCCGUCUCCUGACUAAACACUAUUAUCCGUUAAGAUUUCCACCGUACAUUCAUCACUUUAGAUGACCCUUCUUCAAUAAUCUUCCACAUUUUUGCGCCUUUUCAAUUUACACCAUGCCAGUCUUUUAACAUUUUAAGCACGAAAUCUUAUGGAAUUGUUUUACAAUACACUUUGCACUCCUCUCUGUUCUUUUUAUCAAUUUUCGCUGAACAGUACGCUUAGAACGCGGGGGUUUCUCUUAAUUCAUUAAAAACAGCAGUUAUAUCAUGCAUUAGACGUUUCUUAUCUGAUUUGAUAGUAAUUCAAAGUUUGUAAGUGUCCCGAGUUCGCAGAUAUUCCUACCCGUUCUCUCCUUGUUUUCUGAACUCCCUUGACUUUUAAAACGAUGUAAAACCCCAUAAAUAGUUGGAAGCGGAUAUGUUACCGGGCACCACCAGAUACUUUCACACCAGUUUUAAGAUGCUGCAAUGGCAUUUAUCUCCGACAACGAAAUAUCGUGCCGUUUAAGGACAAUUCUCAAAACUAAACAAAAUGAUAACAAAAUAAUCGAUUUCAAACAUCAAAGGUAAAACUCCAACUUAUUAACAGAGAAAUCCGCUUUUGAAGUUCUAACUCGUAAGUGAAGCGACGUCGUUUAAUUAUCUUCAGAUUUUGCACGGCAGUGUUUAUCUAAUUUUUUAAUUAACCGCAAGAGUCAUUGCAGCAAAAAAGAAAGAUAUUCGCUAUAUAUUUUAAUAUAGUGAUAGAACCUCAACGUCCAGUACAGUGAAUAUUACAGAUAAUUAAAUAAUUGCUUACUACGCACUUUUCAGUCUUGUUCAAAAGCUGGUAAAAUAAUCAAAGAAAACUCAUUUGCAAUUGAAUCAGUACUGAUUUUACUUGAGUGUUGAUCAUUUUUGCUAAGCAUUUUACAUCUAGUGAUUACCAGCUGGGGUAAUAUAUCUGCACAACGAGCGCGAUAGAAUAAAUAUGAAUUGAUGGUUCUAAAUACCAUAAAUUUUUUGACAAGCAAAAACAGUACACGCGAAGUGAUUUAGUUAACAAGCAUGUGUUUGUAGUACAUGGAUACCACAUUCCCACUAUCAUUUUCUUUAUUCAGUGGACUGUAAAAGUGGGAUCAGAUCUCUAAUUUGGCAUUAAAAAUAGAAAGAUGAUUUCAUAGGGAACAAGUGUAUUAAGUAACAACUUCAUUAAAAACUACAUUAACCAAAAACAUUAACAUGAAAAGGACAAAUGAACGAACGAACGGACGAACGGACACACAGUCCGAAAAAAAAUAAUGCAUUUAGGUGGUGCAUAAACAAAACCUCCUUUACUGGUAUACGUAUUGAUUAAUUCACUGUGAAACAGUGUGUUCGUUGGUUAUUUAGAGUAUCUUACCUCUGAGUUUCGACCAUGUUGAAUAUUAUCUAUGUAUUAAUACUAAGAGAUUUUCUAGAGACAACCACCUACGAUCAUUACAAUUCACUGUGACAAUUCACAAUUGUGUUUUUACUGAGUCUCCCUGUGUGUACUAUAGACACAAAGAUUAUUUUUGUAUUCAUUAAUAUGGCUUGAAUUCAUAUUUUUUAAAGGUGGAAUGGAAUUCUAAAUUAAAAAUGACGUCAUACAUUGCCAAAACGUAGAAUAAAUUGAUAUAUGUUCAAAUAUAUAAUAAAAAUGAUAGGUCACCUCGCAUUUUCCCAAGCUACAGCUGACAAAAUGACACAUUGUAUGGAUAAUACAGGAAAAAACAUCAUAAUUAAUUAAAAGCUAAAAAAAUGAUUGAAUAGUAAAAUAAAAUUAUGAUAGCUUUUAGAAAAUGAUUUGAGAAUAUAAAAAGAAAAAAUAGGGUCAACGUACGUUUUUUCCAACUAAAAUACAAAAUAGCAAAAUUCCAUGUAGAUUUCUUCAGAAAAUGCACUAUUUCAGAGUUACGUUCUCUAAAAUACCAGUUUUAAAACCUUAAAAAUCAAGCAAAAAAUAAUAUAUACUGUAAAAAUAUUAUAAUUAAAAAGUUGUAAUCUAUUAGUUUGUUCUUUUAAAUGCAAAUUCACGUUAGUUAACUGUAUUCCUGCAUCAAAUUUUGUUAAUUUGAUUGAAAAUCUGGACCUUAGAUUCUAUUUUUUGUACAAUCCAUGGUCAAUAUGGCGAACGACACCCAUACCACCUUAACUGACCAGAGGUUACCCUUCUAUGCCAAUCAUGUUACCACAUACCACAAAAUAUGUUGUUUAUAACUAAUUUUUACAGAUGUAUUUACAAUAAAUAAAUGAAAAGUAUACGUAAAAAUUAUGUUUUUCAGAUUGGUUACAGAAAAAUGAUUACGAGAAAAAUUAGGGCUACAAUUUCUGGCACCCUAAUGGCCCGAAGUUUCAUCCGACACAAUUGUGACAGAUCGGACUUUUAUAACAUCCAACCAAGUAUUAUUAGGUCUAAUCAAUUCCUUAAACAUGCCGAAAGAGACACCACUGUCUAUAAAAAGCUGUUUUGUAAGGUGGCAUAAAAAUUGAUACAUACAUGUGGAGUGUUUAAUAUGAAGGAACCAGUCACAAUGCAGAACAAAGUGUUCAUUGGUAUUCCGUUUAACUUUAAACUUCGGCAUACAGAGGGUUUACACGAACUGAUACUAAAUUCUUACUUUGAAUUAAGCUGAGCAGAAAGUUGAUGAUCCAGGGCUAUGUCAAAGAACGUCUCGUCCUUUUUUCGUAAAAAAAAACAUCUGCAGAUACCAAGACCUUGAUGACAAAUAUUGCAUAUAAACUCAAAAAUAAUACAUGAUGGACUUGAAGGUUGCACUUUGUGAAUACAGCAGUUUCGCAAACCACGCCUUAUUUCAAUAUAUAUAUAUAUAUUUUAUUUGAUUUGUUUACUUUCUGGUUUCAAGAUAUGACCUCUAUUUUUUUAUCAUUUAGAGACAUAACUUGGGACUGUUACAAGUAUGAAAAUAUAUUGUUUUGGUGAAAACUGAAUUCUUAAGUAGGCAAAAAGUGAAGGUAUGGGUAGUUCAGAAUUGUAUUACAAGUUUUAACUCUUAACAUGUUUGGGCUAUAUAAAUGUUGAAAAUAUGCCGCAUAGCCCUAUGUUUUAAUCUUUGAAUAGAAUAGUAGUGCAUAUCAACUUUCAAUUUUAAGAAAUAUUUUUUUAAGAAACUUUAUAUUAAAAGUGGCACAGUUUUAGCCGCAAAAGGAGUUCCUAUAUGGGAAAUUGCAUUAUCUGUAUUUAUAGAAAUGUAAUCUGGAGUAAAUAUUCUAGGUACUGACGUUGUUUUUCAUCUCACAAUUACGUGUUACAGUGUUCUUUUAUUUGUCUUUGUAUAUUAUUAACUUUUAAUGUGUAGUUCAUUUUUGGUAAUAUCAUUUAGACUUGACUCGGUACUCAUGUCUCCCGAUAUUGUAUUUUUGUGCUAUUUGGCUGGCUUUAAAACAAGGUUUAAUCCACAUUUUCUGCAUAACAAAACUCCUGUACAAAGUCGGGAAUAUGAUCGAUGUUUUCCAUUCGUUUGUUGUGUUUGAGCUUUUGGUUUUGCCGUUUGAUAAUGGACUAUCCGUUUUGAAUUUUCUUUGAAGUUCGAUUUUUUUAUAUAUGAAAACACCUUGCGAGUUGUCUAAUAUACUCCAAAGACGGCAAACAUAUCAAGAAUCAAUACAUUCUGUUGAAUAGAAGCGGUAAAAUUAUAAUUUUGUAUAAAUUUUUAUUGAGAUUUCUGCCGAGUUAUCUCCCUUUCAAUGGAUAUCUCCGAAGGAAUUUUAAAUCAUGAUUUUUUAGUCUUCCUCAAGUAAGAAUUUAUGGGACUUUUUUCUGUGUAUAUUUUGUGUAUAAUGAUAAAUUUUAAAACUUUAAAAUCUUAUGUUUAAGGUAAGGAUCGAAUUUACGCUAGAUUGACCGGACUACCAUCACUAUAUAAAAACCUAGUAGCCAUAGAUUAAAACAGAAAAAGGGAUUGAUAAUUUAUUAGGUAUUUUGAUAACAGGACACUGUACUGUAAAGAACUAAACCUUAAAUCACAAUCUCUGCAAUUUUCCUGCAACAUUAAGACUUUUGAUUUUUCUACGCUUUACACUACUAUUUCCAAUGCUCAAUUAAAAGAUCGACUUCACCAUCUUAUUAAACAGAACUUUUUCUGGAAUCUUAGAUACAAAUUUCUUAUUUUGGGUUAUAAUAACUCCUAUUUUGUGAAGAACCACACUGAUUCUACCAAAAAAUAUACUGAAGAUGAUAAUAAGUGCUGGAUUUUUUUUUAUCGACAAUCUAUUUGUUGAGUUUGGAGGAUAAAUUUUUAAACAGACAGUCUCUAUUCCAAUGAGUACUUAUUGUGCACGCCUUCUUGGUGAUUUUUUACUCGUAUGAAGCAGAAUUCAUUUAGAACCUUCUUAACGACAAAUAGAAAAAGCCCCUUGUGAAAUUCUUUAAUUGUUCUUUCAGAUAUAUUGAUGAUGUCCUAUUACUGAAUAACUCAUAUUUCAGUACUUACAUCUUAUGUAUCCCAGUGAACUUGAAAUUAAGAAAACUGCUGAAACUAGAAGGACUGCUUCAUAUCUUAUCUCUUCCUAAAAAUUGGCAUAGAUGGACGACUUCACACUACAAUCUAUGACAAACGAACGAUUUCAACUUUCCAAUUAUCAAUUUCCCAUUUCUCAGCAUUAAGUUAAUCAUUCCCUCUGCCCCAUCGCAUAGUGUUAACAUAUCUCAGUUAAUACGUUAUGCUCGUGCAUGUUCACACUAUACGGACUUUAUAUAUGCUCCUUAAGCAAGAAACUGCUCAAACAAAGUUAUGAGGAGACAAGAAUAUAAAUGAAACAUUUUAUGGACACCAUCAUGAUUUGGUUGAUCAAUACGAUGUGUUUGGGUGUUAUCGUUUUAUAGUUGUAAUAUCUUUUUUUUUUAUUAUUUUCUAUCCAUAUUUUUAAUUUGAGAUAAUCAAUCACCCAAUUCGUUUGCAUGAUUUUAGUUUAAAGCAACUUUGUGCACAUUAUUUAUUUGUUUUUUACACAUUUUGAUUUGGAAGAAAGCACAAUUCCUAACACAAUUUUAUAUUAAUAUUCUUGUAAUUGUUAUGAAAUACAUCAAAUAACAUAAUUUAAAAACCUAAUCUUGGUUUAUAUCCAAUUUUUAAAAAAUUAAAACCUGUGACGUUACUUUUGUGGCGUUGAUUCUUUUUUGUGACAGACACAUAAUUCGUAAUUCUAUUAAGUUGUACCUCAAUUACCUGUUUUAGUGUAAUGUUCUCAAUUUAUUUUAGGUAUUCGUUGUUAUUCUGUGUGUAAAAUGUCAAAAUGUACUAUUAUAUUAUUCAUUUAUGUAUUUAUCUGUCUUGGGUAUUCUUGCAGUGAUUUGUACUGUAUUCCCGUCAUGUAAUGUUGUCGUUUUAAGGGUAUAUUAAACAUUGCCAUAAAGCGCGAGGUUUGGAUAGCCACAAAACCAGGUUUAACCCUCCAUUUUUUUCUUAAAAUGUCCUGUACCAAGUCAGGAAUAUGGCGGUUGUUCUCGAAUAGUUCAUUUCUAUGGAUGUUGCAAUGUCGUUUGAUUUGUGUUGCUAUUCAGUGUUCUGUUGUUUCGUUGUUUUUCUCUUAUGGUUGAUGUGUUUCCAUCGGUUUUAGUUUGUAACCCGAAUCUAUUUUCUCUCAUUUGAUAUAUUACUCAUAAACAGUGGUAUACUACUGUUGCCUUAUUUAGAAAGCUUAAAAAAUAAGAAAACGUAUAAUUAGAAAUGGCAAAAUAGUUUUAGCUUGCAAAUUGAAACUAUUCCUUUCUUUUCAAAUAUUCAUGUACUCAAUCCUAGCUAUGUAUGUUUCUCUUUAGAUCAUUCUCAUUAUGUUGAACCCAAAAUAUCAAAGGAGCAAAUGUAAAAUUCAGCACUUAAUAUCUAGGAGAAUGCUUCAAUUAUUUUUAUUAAUUUCACAUUUAAAACAUAAUUUUCGUUAAUGAUGCAAUUGAUGAUAAGUGAGAAAUUUCUCUUAACGUAUCAGAUAAAAUGAAAAGAAACACAAUUAGACGCUGCACUAAGUACUGGUCAAAAAUCCGUAAACAAAAGUUGGAACUAAAAUUUUAAGAGUACUAGAUCUAGUAAUAUAUCAAAUCAUACGAAAAUUAACAUAACACAAGAUAUUGAAAUGUUUUGUAAUGGAUUGUAUCGCAAUUCAGACAAACCAAGGUUUAAGAAAAUUUACCAUAUUAAAAACUUAUAAAGAGCCUCCAGUAAGAAUUUGCUGAAGGAAAUACCAACUUAUAUUCGAAAAUGUUAUUUAUUUCAUAAAAUACAUAAAGGAGCACCCGCGAUCAACGCCAGUUUUUCGUUGGGUUCAUGCAACUCAGUAUUUAUGUUGUUUAUGUCGUGGUUUGUGUUUUGUUUUUGUCUCUUGGUCUAUUUCUUUUUGCGCCAUGGCGUUGUCAUUUUAUUUUCGAUUUAUGAGUUGAAAUGUCCAUUUGGUAUCUUUGGCCUUUCGUUUAAAGCAGGGAUACACCGAGACCUUUGUUGGAAAAGGCAAGUUUUAGAAAGGAUCUUUUCUCCUCUUAAUCUUUUCGAAUGGUAACCGGUCUGCAAAUAUCUUUGCUGGAAAUACUCGGGAUGAUAACUGUAAGUUUGUAUUGGUUUGAUUCGGUUUUGGAUUCCAAACAUACGCUGUACAGAGGAUGCCAUUUUUCAAAAGGUUGUGUAAAUAAAGCUUCAAGUAAAUGUAGUUGACUGUACGUAUCGAUUACUAUUUGUGCAAUGUUAAAAGAAACUGAAAAAUUGACCGAAAGUAAAUUUAAAAUUAUUCUAUAUUUUAUUUUUGCAGGUUGACAGAAUUUUAAAACUAUUUGCAAUAACAUACUAUUAUAUGUAGUACGAAAGAAAACAACUUUGAAUUCAUGGACAAUACAUUCCUGACAUACAAAGUCGGCUUUUUGUACAGCGUUAUAUUUUAUAUAAUAGCCAGUGAAACAAUAUACAUGAUAUAUGUUAUAUAAAUUAUAUUAAACGGUUUAUGUUUUGCCAUAUUUCUAUCUUUUACAGAAUAUAAAUGAU
RNAcentral lists this long non-coding RNA (11880 nucleotides) under Mytilus galloprovincialis (Mediterranean mussel). The record is from RNAcentral. Lineage: Eukaryota; Metazoa; Mollusca; Bivalvia; Mytilida; Mytilidae.